CCUACGGGUGGCUGCAGUGAGGAAUAUUGGUCAAUGGACGAGAGCCUGAACCAGCCAAGUCGCGUGAGGGAUGACUGCCCUAUGGGUUGUAAACCUCUUUUAUCUGGGAAUAAAACGUUCCACGUGUGGGGUUUUGUGUGUACCCUAUGAAUAAGCAUCGGCUAACUCCGUGCCAGCAGCCGCGGUAAUACGGAGGAUCCGAGCGUUAUCCGGAUUUAUUGGGUUUAAAGGGUGCGUAGGUGGGUCGUUAAGUCAGUGGUGAAAGUUGGGGGCUCAACCGUAGAAUUGCAGUUGAAACUGGCAGUCUUGAGUAGGGGAGAGGUAGGCGGAAUGCGUGGUGUAGCGGUGAAAUGCUUAGAUAUCACGAAGAACUCCGAUUGCGAAGGCAGUUCACUGGAGUGCAACUGACGCUGAGGCACGAAAGUGUGGGGAUCGAACAGGAUUAGAUACCCGUGUAGUC
This 460-nucleotide ribosomal RNA is filed under the name uncultured bacterium. RNAcentral's name for it is "partial 16S ribosomal RNA". It matches the Rfam family "Bacterial small subunit ribosomal RNA", at positions 338 to 795 of the family's 1533-position model. The record is from RNAcentral.